RNAcentral lists this ribosomal RNA (252 nucleotides) under Triticum aestivum (bread wheat). Its description in RNAcentral is "partial small subunit ribosomal RNA". The record is from RNAcentral. Lineage: Eukaryota; Viridiplantae; Streptophyta; Magnoliopsida; Poales; Poaceae.
AUGGAUAACAAAGGCAAAUCCAAGGCCAUUGACCGUUACGUGCAAACAGCAUCCCAUUUCCAUCGUGGCAGCGGGAUAGACAAUGGCAAAGAGAUAUGGGAGGACGAUGCUGCCACCAUUGCUCUUGGCGGCCGUCAACGUGACAUGAGCCUUUUCCUCAGCUUCUUAGAUGAACAGCUGGGAUGGUUGCAUUUGGAUUAUGAGUUUCGGGACAACAUUCUACUAGCUUGUUGUGUAUCAACAAGCUUCUAG